UCCCGAGUGCUUGCACUCAAUUGGAAAGAGGAGUGGCGGACGGGUGAGUAACACGUGGGUAACCUACCCAUCAGAGGGGGAUAACACUUGGAAACAGGUGCUAAUACCGCAUAACAGUUUAUGCCGCAUGGCAUAAGAGUGAAAGGCGCUUUCGGGUGUCGCUGAUGGAUGGACCCGCGGUGCAUUAGCUAGUUGGUGAGGUAACGGCUCACCAAGGCCACGAUGCAUAGCCGACCUGAGAGGGUGAUCGGCCACACUGGGACUGAGACACGGCCCAGACUCCUACGGGAGGCAGCAGUAGGGAAUCUUCGGCAAUGGACGAAAGUCUGACCGAGCAACGCCGCGUGAGUGAAGAAGGUUUUCGGAUCGUAAAACUCUGUUGUUAGAGAAGAACAAGGACGUUAGUAACUGAACGUCCCCUGACGGUAUCUAACCAGAAAGCCACGGCUAACUACGUGCCAGCAGCCGCGGUAAUACGUAGGUGGCAAGCGUUGUCCGGAUUUAUUGGGCGUAAAGCGAGCGCAGGCGGUUUCUUAAGUCUGAUGUGAAAGCCCCCGGCUCAACCGGGGAGGGUCAUUGGAAACUGGGAGACUUGAGUGCAGAAGAGGAGAGUGGAAUUCCAUGUGUAGCGGUGAAAUGC
This 640-nucleotide ribosomal RNA is filed under the name Enterococcus faecalis. RNAcentral's name for it is "bacterial SSU rRNA". It matches the Rfam family "Bacterial small subunit ribosomal RNA", at positions 70 to 689 of the family's 1533-position model. Lineage: Bacteria; Bacillati; Bacillota; Bacilli; Lactobacillales; Enterococcaceae. The record is from RNAcentral.